GAUGAACGCUGGCGGCGUGCCUAAUACAUGCAAGUCGAGCGAAGCGGGGACGGGUGAGUAACACGUGGAUAACCUCCUAUCGGACUGGGAUAACUUCGGGAAACCGGAGCUAAACCGGAUACUUAUAGAUGGAUCCGCGCGGCAUUGGUUAGUUGGUAAGGUAACGGCUUACCAAGGCAACGAUGCCUAGCCGACCUGAGAGGGUGAUCGGCCAAACGGGAACUGAGGGACGGUCCAGAGUCCGACAGGAGGCAGCGAUAGAGAAUCGUCGGCAAUGGGCGAAAGCCCGACAGAGCAACGCCGCGUUGUGGAGGAGGGUCUUAGGAUCUUAAAACUCUGUUAUUAGGGAAGCGGUAGCUAGUCAGAAAGCCACGGCUAACUACGUGCCAGCAGCCGCGGUAAUAC
Molecule: ribosomal RNA, 405 nt
Filed under: uncultured bacterium
Lineage: Bacteria
Description: partial 16S ribosomal RNA
Rfam family: Bacterial small subunit ribosomal RNA
Source: RNAcentral